AAAACCAUAAAGUAAAUGUAAGGUUUCAACAAGGUUCUAGUUACCCUCAUAGUCAGCACUUUUAUAAUUUUUACAAAUACUAAAAUUUGCCAGGAUUGGUGGUGCACAUCUGUAAUCCCAGCUAUUUGGGAGGCUGAGGCAGGAGGACUGCAAGUUUAAAGACAGCCUCAGCAACUUAGCUAGACCCUAACUUAGGGAGACCCUAUCUCAAAAUAAAAAAAUAAAAAGGGCUGGGGAUGUGGCUCUGUGGUAGAGCACCCCCGGGUUCAAUCCCUAGUGCUAGAAAAAAAUUUUGAAAUAUAUCAAAUUUGAGGCCAGCUUCCCUGGAAAUUUGAGCAUAUGCAGAGUUGAUGUCCUGGGACCAAGGAGUUGGCUGCAACAGCAUCAGGUGGUGCUGAGGGUGUGGCUCUAUUCCCCUGUGGAUAUUGCCCCACAAGGCCACAGUAUUUGUUGUGUUCCUUAGGUUAAAAGCAUUUUGUGCUUAGUAGCUCAUUAAUCCUCUAACUUGGGGAGGGGAGGCAAUACGAUUGCUUGACCCUCUGUUUUAACUGGUUGAACAGGUACAGUGAAGGUAAGCUUUGUGACUUAGUGACAAAUUCAAAACCUAUUAGAGCCUGGACCAAACCUACCCACAGCAUUAUUCUACAUGAUGCUGCAUUUCCCUGUGUACUAGAAAAAAUUAAUAACACACAAAAACAGAUCUAACUUCUGGAAAGCUUACCAUAGACUUACAUCCCCUUUGUGGAUCACUAAAUGUCAUGUUCAAUUGGAAAACCCCUGGGCUUCUAAUUUUACACAUUGUCUUUCAGGCAUAGAGUUGGAAUUAGAAUCACUGAAAGACCUCAAAAAUUUUUAAAGUAAAGGAAGCUGCACUUUGUGUAAGGAAUGCUGUCCUGAAUACAUUGCAUAAUUUCAAAUACUCAUAACUUAAGACCAGUUUUCACAGAAAAAAAUAUUAAGUGGGAUGCUGUUGUGGUUUUUUGGCCCUACUGCUAUAUUUCACCUUUACAUCAUUUUCUCCAGUGCUUUUUAGAGUGUGCUGUCUUCUAAAUUAACAGAUGGUAUACCAUUGUUGCAGUGGUUAGGAGUUCAAGUGUUUUAUCAUUGGUAAGUUCUAUGCUAAAAGUUUUUAGUGCAGGCAAUGGCAUCAUGGUCACUGACUCACAUUGGAAGUUGCAGUGCCCAUCAAUUGGAGUGUGGGUCACUCUAUAUUGUGUGAUGCAC
This 1224-nucleotide long non-coding RNA is filed under the name Marmota monax (woodchuck). Lineage: Eukaryota; Metazoa; Chordata; Mammalia; Rodentia; Sciuridae. The record is from RNAcentral.